Musa acuminata AAA Group (dessert banana) is the source of this 4595-nucleotide long non-coding RNA. RefSeq lists it as uncharacterized. NCBI's taxonomy places the organism in Eukaryota, Viridiplantae, Streptophyta, Magnoliopsida, Zingiberales, Musaceae. The transcript is spliced from 4 exons. The record is from RefSeq and is a predicted model, not a curated record.
UUGGGAGCGCCCGCAACACUAUGGAGUGAUGGGUAGACCUCUUCCGCCUGGAUGGAACGGUGGUGGCUUCUCCAACAUCCCUAACCCUACGGGAAGUUCAGCAAAUUUCUCAUCGCAAGGAUGCGCUGAUUCCGCGUUGCAGUUUCUGCAUGCCUGGGUUUGGAAGAAGGGCUCUUUUACCUCCGAGGGAGAAGGCGAUCUAAAAUAGAAGAUUAGUUUAUGUCUCUACUCUGUACAGGGUGAAGGACAUCAAAUACAAUUGUGUCCACCUUCGGCAAAAUAUGCACAACUUCAUGGCUUAACUUCAUGUUCUAGCAUCUCUUUUGCCAACAUUCUUCUCGUUUGCCGAUAUGUUGGUUCUUUACUUAAAUGCAAGAAUACAUGGUUAUCUGCUGAGCAGGUAGUUUCUUUCAGGUGCAUCUAUAUAACUAAUGUGCCAAGCAUUAGUUUCUCUGCAGUUAGAGAAUAUGAGAUUCAUGAAUAGAAAUUCUUUUUAAGUUCUCUGAUAGAUCUGGCUGUGUUCUUUGCUAAGAAAUAAUAGCUUGGCAGUAAUAGAACAAGAUUUAUAGAUGGGAAAGGAUUUUAACCUUCUAGUUUAGGGAGGAAGAAUGAUUAUUCUCGACAUGGAUUUAUAAAGUUGAGAACAGCUAUUCAAUCUAGUUCACUUUACCCCUUAAAAACAAUAUUUACAUGAUAGUACUUAGAAUGCUGACUGAUGAUCGACAUAUGGCAAGACUAUAAGAACAUGGAACUCAAUUAUGAACCAUAGGUGAGCAUUUUUUCCCCUCAAAUAUUCCCUCAAAAGAAGUUAUCCGGUAUGGUUGCAAAAGAAUAUUACAAAGCUUCAAAAUUUUUUCUCCAUGUUGGAAAGUAAUCUCCAUAUUGUUCAAACUAAGCAUGAAAACAAUGAGAAAGUUGCAAGUUCAUAUCGUCCAUGAUCAAGAGACUUUGAGCUUUUCCUAGAAGAUCCGUCUGGAGAUGCUGGAAGGUCUUUGGAACCUAUCUGCUGUGGCAAUUUCUUUGAAUCAGUCGGUAUCGCUAAAAUGUAUUACAGGCAUUAGUUGACAUAAGAUUGUCCAACUCUGUCAUGAAGUUCAGAAACGUUUACACCGUCAGUUGCCAUUGAGAUGAUCUAUUCUCCACCUACCUCAUAUCCCCACAAGCAAGAUUUGUACAUGAGACUUAUGAAUAGGUUCACUAGAUAGCUUCUCAGUGCUUUCUCUCUCCCUUUUUCCAUGAUUCUCUUGUGCUCUUCUCGAUACCCCUCAAAGAAAAGAAAAAGAAAGCUUCUGCUCAUCGUGUAUGAUUUCUCCACCAUAUCAAGUAUUGGGUACAUUGACAAGUUCAAACAACACUGGUCCUCUCACUUCUCUUUUCCAUUCUCAGAUUAAUAGAACACAUCUCUUCUUUUCUUUGGAUUUGUCUCAGGGUUCCCUUUUCUCAUCAUAGCUGCAAACUCAUCAUAAUUUAUUCUUCCAUCCUGCAUGUUGACAGUGAUUUAGAUCAGAAUUGUGUUUUCCCAGACUGCUACUAAUAUACUAGAUGGCUAGACAGGUUCUAGUAAUAUUCUGCAUUGCCUCUUUCUACUUACAUUGUCAACAUCAGCUUCAGCAAUUAUAUCCUUGAUUUCCUUGCCGUCGUAUAGUCCUUUCUCUUUUAGAGCUUGCUCAAGUUCUUCCUUUGUGAUAUAACUAUAGAAAGAAAAAGGUGUUAGUAUUCAGUUAGGUCACCAAUGUGUCUAAUUUAUUAUCCAAUGCAUCAUUAAAACUAUUUCAUUGUAUAUUGUUUUAUAUAAAAUCAAUGUGUUAUGCUGUUGUUUUGCACAAAACCUACCCGCUGUUGUCCUUAUCAAAGUACUGAAAUGCUGUAUAUAGAUGCUCUUCUCUAUCCAUUCUGUUCAUGUGCAUUGUCGCUGUAAUAAAUUCCUCAUAGUCGAUAGUUCCGUUCCCAUCUGCAUCAGCCUGUGUUAAGUGUAUUAGAUUAGAUGGUACAACGAUUAGAUUCUUUCUAUCUGGGUUGAUUGAUUGAAUUUGUCAGUAAAAUUUUGGGUGCAUAUAGAACUCACAGCUUCCAUCAGCUGUUUGACUUCAUACUCCGACAGCUUUGUUCCUUGCUUGGAAAGACCUUGUUUUAGUUCUUCGAGAGUUAUAGUUCCACUAUUGUCAGAGUCCAUAUUCUUAAACAUUUCCUUCAGCCCUUUGAUCUCUUCCUCUGAUAAACAUCCUGCUAUUACCUGCACAUAUUGACAGCAAACUCAUUGAUAGUAUCAACUACAGGCCUUGCCAGUUUGAGUGCCUUAUUUUCUUUCCUCUCUCUAAGAAGUCUGAAGAGCUUUCAAGUCAUGAGGAUCAACGGUGAGAAGUAUAUUGUAGGAUAUCCAGGUAGACAUUCUUUCAUGUUGUUAGACACAAAUUUAGUCACCAAGCUUUCCAUUAGUGAACCUUGAAUUAUGUCACCAAAUAAUUCUAGUCAAACAUAUAGCGAAUUUUGCAGACAUUGGGUUAAUACAAUCUGUGAAUGGGGAAACAAGAAAUUUACCCUUAGGGCAGCUUUCUUAAACUGGUUCAUUGCUCUAAAUUGUUUCAGCCUGUUGAGGACAGCAUUGUCAAGUGGUGUGUCAGGUGCUUCUCCAUCUUCCUUGAUCCAUGGAUGGUCUGUAUUGUAAGUCCAUAAUCAGACAAGACAGUUUGCAUGAGAUUUCCUAUGUGUUUGCAUAGUAAAGAUAUUCUUGGUUCAAAACACAUGGAAAGAGCUUGUAUUUAGGGUGGAAGAUUCUCAAAAUAGACUAUAUGUGGGUUUUUUUUGUCUUAAUAUGUAAGCAUUCCUUGAUCUUGUCUGGAUGUAAAAACCAAGGAAGAUGUUUGACUGCCAAACCAGGCCUCAACCUGGUGGUGGCAAGAUGUUUGACUAAAUUACACAGGCAAAAUUUUAUUUUAUCUCUUCUUUCUCUAAUUGUAAUUUAUGACUCCAAGAUUUUUAGACAACUAACUUAGUUUGCUAGUGAAUCACAAAAUAGAUAUCAUUGAGUUGCAUGAAAAUUGGUCAUACUGAGAACUUCAAAUGCUGUCAGCCUCUGUCUGGGGUCCAAGUUCAGCAUCUUUCUCACAAGAUCCUUAGCACCAGGUGAAAUGUUAGGCCAUGGGUCACUUGUAAAGUCAAUCUGCCCCCCUAGAAUAGUAUUGAAGAUCCCCUGCUCAGACUCUGAUAGAAUAAAUAUUAGUUUGACUUUUUGGUUUCAUGACUUUGGCAGCACAAACAAGAAUUAUUUGAAUAGAUGAAGAAGCACCAGCCCAGAAUGGAGGAACUCCACAGAGAAAAAUGUAAAGCAUCACUCCUAUGCUCCAAAUAUCAGCUUCUGGCCCAUAUCUUCGCUUGAGGACCUCAGGUGCUAUGUAAUAUGCACUGCCAACUAUGUCUUUGAAUACCUCACCUGUUCAGGAGAGAUCUUAAUUUAGCUGAUAGCUAGAUGAUCCAGAAGUGGAUGAAUUGCAAUCAGGAUUGCAUCAGAUGCUGCAAAACCAAAACAUGAAAACAAUUGCUCCAAAGACCAAAAAAAAAGAGAGAGAAGAUGACAUACUACCAAAGCAAGGAAAAGAGAAUCUUCCCAAGUAGGAAAUAUUUAGUGACUGCAAGUUCCAGGUAGGAAACAUUAAGAUGUCCUUCACACUGUGUUCUGGGUAUCAAUAUCAUCAAGAAGACUUUACAUAAAGAUACAUCCUGGGUGAUGGUUUAUAUUAGUAGAAGAAAGAUUGCAACUUUGCUUUCUUGUAUCAUUGUUUGAACCACAUAUCAUAUAUAUGUUGCAAGAAAAAAGUUGAAGCCGAAGCAAGUUAGAAGACAUAAUAAUGAGAUUUAUGCUCAUGUAAAUGCUGAGUUUUUAGGGGGUGGAUGUAUGUCCUGUUUAUAUAUAGAAUAAGAAUGAAGGCUUUUCGGUGCUUCUUCUUCCUUUACCAUUCAAAUGCAGUUUUCUUUCUUUCAAAUGACUUCCCUUGUUCUUUGUAGAAGCAAACACAGUUUCGUCGAACAUGUGGUGGACAAAAAGGCGGAAGAGGAGGGGAAGAAGAAGGAAGAAGAAAAGAGAACUGAAUCGAAUCAAUGGAGGGGCACAGAGGAACUAAACCUUGCUUGAAGAAAACAGAGAGCCCAAAGUCGGUGGCCUUGAGCGGCGCAUCCUCAUCCUUGUUCAGCAAGAGGAAGUUCUCGGGCUUGAGGUCCCUAUGCAUCACCCCCAUGGAAUGGCAGGUGUGGACGAUCUGCACGAUCGUCCUCAGCAGCGACGCGGCCGCCCGCUCCGUGUAGUGGCCCCUGGCGAUGAUGCGAUCGAACAGCUCCCCUCCCGCGCACAGCUCCAUGACGAGGUGCACCGACUGCUUGUCCUCGAAAGCCCCCUUCAGCUCCACGAUGUUGGGCUGCCCCGACAGGCGUACUUGUCCCCGGUGGCCUUGUGGGUGCAAAGAUGGGUGACGCCGAACUGGCCGCGCCCCAGCUCCUUCCCGAGGGAGUAAGUGGCGCGGACGUCCUCCAUGGGCCGGCCGAGCACGGGGCCGAUGGGAGCGGCCGGCUUAGGGGGCGGGCUGAAGGCGGCGGUGGGUACG